This 30-nucleotide non-coding RNA is filed under the name Rattus norvegicus (Norway rat). The record is from RNAcentral. Lineage: Eukaryota; Metazoa; Chordata; Mammalia; Rodentia; Muridae.
UGAUGAUUUUUUAAAAUGUGUAUGGGUGUU